AACGAACGCUGGCGGCAUGCCUAACACAUGCAAGUCGAACGAGACCUUCGGGUCUAGUGGCGCACGGGUGCGUAACGCGUGGGAACCUGCCCUUAGGUUCGGAAUAACUCCCCGAAAGGGGUGCUAAUACCGGAUAAUGUCUUCGGACCAAAGAUUUAUCGCCUUUGGAUGGGCCCGCGUUGGAUUAGCUAGUUGGUAGGGUAAAAGCCUACCAAGGCGACGAUCCAUAGCUGGUCUGAGAGGAUGAUCAGCCACACUGGGACUGAGACACGGCCCAGACCCCGACGGGAGGCAGCAGGGGGGAAUAUUGGACAAUGGGCGAAAGCCUGAUCCAGCAAUGCCGGGGGAGUGAUGAAGGCCUUAGGGUGGUAAAGCUCUUUUACCCGGGAUGAUAAUGACAGUCCCGGGAGAAUAAGCCCCGGCUAACCCCGU
This 432-nucleotide ribosomal RNA is filed under the name uncultured bacterium. RNAcentral's name for it is "partial 16S ribosomal RNA". It matches the Rfam family "Bacterial small subunit ribosomal RNA", at positions 29 to 506 of the family's 1533-position model. The record is from RNAcentral.